Molecule: ribosomal RNA, 237 nt
Filed under: Staphylococcus aureus
Lineage: Bacteria; Bacillati; Bacillota; Bacilli; Caryophanales; Staphylococcaceae
Description: partial 23S ribosomal RNA
Rfam family: Bacterial large subunit ribosomal RNA
Source: RNAcentral
AUAUCAGAAGGCACACCCGGAGAACUGAAACAUCUUAGUACCCGGAGGAAGAGAAAGAAAAUUCGAUUCCCUUAGUAGCGGCGAGCGAAACGGGAAGAGCCCAAACCAACAAGCUUGCUUGUUGGGGGUGUAGGACACUCUAUACGGAGUUACAAAGGACGACAUUAGACGAAUCAUCUGGAAAGAUGAAUCAAAGAAGGUAAUAAUCCUGUAGUCGAAAAUGUUGUCUCUCUUGAG